This 254-nucleotide ribosomal RNA is filed under the name uncultured bacterium. RNAcentral describes it as "partial 16S ribosomal RNA". It matches the Rfam family "Bacterial small subunit ribosomal RNA", at positions 524 to 776 of the family's 1533-position model. The record is from RNAcentral.
UACGUAGGGGGCGAGCGUUGUCCGGAUUUAUUGGGCGUAAAGCGCUCGUAGGCGGUUUGGUAAGUUGGAUGUGAAAUCUCCAGGCUCAACUUGGAGGGGUCAUUCGAUACUGCCAUGACUAGAGUUCGGUAGGGGAGUGUGGAAUUCCUGGUGGAGCGGUGAAAUGCGCAGAUAUCAGGAGGAACACCCGUAGCGAAGGCGGCACUCUGGGCCGGAACUGACGCUGAGGAGCGAAAGCGUGGGGAGCGAACAGG